GAUGAACGCUGGCGGCGUGCUUAACACAUGCAAGUCGAACGAAGCACUUUAUUUGAUUUCCUUCGGGACUGAUUAUUUUGUGACUGAGUGGCGGACGGGUGAGUAACGCGUGGGUCACCUGCCUUGUACAGGGGGAUAACCGUUGGAAACGGCUGCUAAUACCGCAUAAGCGCACGGCAUCGCAUGAUGCAGUGUGCAAAACUCCGGUGGUAUAAGAUGGACUCGCGUUGGAUUAGCUAGUUGGUGAGGUAACGGCCCACCAAGGCGACGAUCCAUAGCCGACCUGAGAGGGGGACCGGCCACAAUGGGACUGAGACACGGCCCAAACUCCUACGGGAGGCAGCAGUGGGGAAUAUGGCACAAUGGGCGAAAGCCUGAUGCAGCGACGCCGCGUGAGCGAAGAAGUAUUUCGGUAUGUAAAGCGCUAUCAGCAGGGAAGAUAAUGACGGUACCUGACGAAGAAGCACCGGCUAAAUACGUG
Molecule: ribosomal RNA, 481 nt
Filed under: uncultured bacterium
Lineage: Bacteria
Description: partial 16S ribosomal RNA
Rfam family: Bacterial small subunit ribosomal RNA
Source: RNAcentral